This 76-nucleotide transfer RNA is filed under the name Effusibacillus lacus. RNAcentral's name for it is "tRNA-Trp". It matches the Rfam family "tRNA". Rfam says of the family: Transfer RNA (tRNA) molecules are approximately 80 nucleotides in length. Their secondary structure includes four short double-helical elements and three loops (D, anti-codon, and T loops). Lineage: Bacteria; Bacillati; Bacillota; Bacilli; Caryophanales; Alicyclobacillaceae. RNAcentral also lists the same sequence under 2 other names. The record is from RNAcentral.
AGGGGCAUAGUUCAGUUGGUAGAACGGCGGUCUCCAAAACCGCAUGUCGUGGGUUCGAAUCCUGCUGCCCCUGCCA